UAGACAGAUUAUUGUUUCGACUGUAUUCACGAUAUGUAUUUGUGAAUACAGUAACGUAAAUAGCGGAGUUCAUGGUCUAUCCAGCUGUGUUUAAACGGAAAGUGAAUCAAUUAAUAUAAUAGACUCCU
RNAcentral lists this microRNA precursor (128 nucleotides) under Nicotiana sylvestris (wood tobacco). RNAcentral describes it as "MIR6152 microRNA precursor family". It matches the Rfam family "MIR6152 microRNA precursor family". The record is from Rfam by way of RNAcentral. Lineage: Eukaryota; Viridiplantae; Streptophyta; Magnoliopsida; Solanales; Solanaceae.